Tachyglossus aculeatus (Australian echidna) is the source of this 76-nucleotide non-coding RNA. The record is from the annotation of a RefSeq genome assembly. Lineage: Eukaryota; Metazoa; Chordata; Mammalia; Monotremata; Tachyglossidae.
GGCCGGUUAGCUCAGUUGGUUAGAGCGUGGUGCUAAUAACGCCAAGGUCGUGGGUUCGAUCCCCAUGUAUUUUUCU